This 1320-nucleotide long non-coding RNA is filed under the name Salmo salar (Atlantic salmon). RNAcentral's name for it is "lncRNA (ENSSSAG00000099103.1)". Lineage: Eukaryota; Metazoa; Chordata; Actinopteri; Salmoniformes; Salmonidae. The record is from RNAcentral.
GCCCGAUGUUAGUGUGAGCCGCCAGGGACACAUAAAUAUGUUGACUGAUAUCUUCCUCCUUGAUGAAAACCAGGCGGGAGGAUGGAAGAAGCUGAGUAGAGAAAUGUUUGUCCUCCUUUAAUCAUGUGGUGGUUUGGCCCGUGCCCUGCUCUGACCAUCAGGAGUACUUCCUCUGUCUCCAACCUGCAGCCAGGAAGUCCUCCAACAGUAAGUUGAGAGUCUGUUUUGACACAAUGGGCACCAUCAUCAGUGUGGAGGGAAUCUCAUCACCCAGAACCAAAUCUAACAAAAGCUAAUUCCAACCAAUGUCUUGUUGUUGUUGUUGUUGUUGUUGUUGUUGUUGUUAGAUAGAGGGGAUAGAGGGGAUACAGGCCAGGCCAGAGGUGGAUAGAGGGGAUACAGGCCAGGUCAGAGGUGGAUAGGGGGGAUACAGGCCAGGACAGAGGAGGAUAGAGGGGGAUACAGGCCAGGGCAGAGGAUAGAGGGGGAUACAGGCCAGGACAGAGGAGGAUAGAGGGGAUACAGGCCAGGACAGAGGAGGAUGGAGGGGGAUACAGGCCAGGACAGAGGUGGAUAGAGGGGAUACAGGCCAGGACAGUGGUGGAUAGAGGGGAUACAGGGUGAUACAGGCCAGGUCAGAGGUGGAUAGAGGGGAUGCAGGCCAGGACAGAGGUGGAUAGAGGGGAUACAGGCCAGGUCAGAGGUGGAUAGAGGGGAUACAGGCCAGGACAGAGGUGGAUAGAGGGGAUACAGGCCAGGUCAGAGGUGGAUAGAGGGGAUAGAGUCCAGGACAGAGGUGGAUAGAGGGGAUACAGGCCAGGACAGAGGUGGAUAGAGGGGAUACAGGCCAGGCCAGAGGUGGAUAGAGGGGAUACAGGCCAGGACAGAGGAGGAUGGAGGGGGAUACAGGCCAGGACAGAGGAGGAUAGAGGGGAUACAGGCCAGGACAGAGGUGGAUAGAGGGGAUACAGGCCAUGACAGAGAAGGAUUAAGGGGACACAGGCCAGGACAGAGGAGGAUAGAGGUGCUACAGGCCAGGACAGAGGAGGAUACAGGGGAUACAGGCCAGGACAGAGGAGGAUAGAGCAGAUACAGGCCAGGACAGAGGAGGAUAGAGGGGAUACGGGCAGGAGUCAACCAUUUAUGGUUUUUCUUGAACUAUCAGACUACGGGCCCCAUUCUAGGAAAACUGGUUACCAGGUUUCCAAGACACGUAGGACAGAGCCUUUAGGUUCUAGAAACAUUAACUAAAAUGAAUAGAGCUUUUAUGGCAUCACACACAGCAACACUAGGACAAAGUUAGGCUUUUUCAGUCACAAC